GCACUUGCUUUGACAGUACAUAUGUUAAUAUUGGAAUGGUACAGAGAACAUUAGCGUGACCCCUGCAUAAGAAUCCAAUGCAUAUCCUACAAAAUUAAGAAUAAGGA
Molecule: small nuclear RNA, 107 nt
Organism: Dipodomys ordii (Ord's kangaroo rat)
Lineage: Eukaryota; Metazoa; Chordata; Mammalia; Rodentia; Heteromyidae
Source: Ensembl